Molecule: ribosomal RNA, 433 nt
Filed under: uncultured bacterium
Lineage: Bacteria
Description: partial 16S ribosomal RNA
Rfam family: Bacterial small subunit ribosomal RNA
Source: RNAcentral
AACGAACGCUGGCGGCAUGCCUAACACAUGCAAGUCGAACGAGGCCUUCGGGUCUAGUGGCGCACGGGUGCGUAACGCGUGGGAACCUGCCCUUAGGUUCGGAAUAACUCCCCGAAAGGGGUGCUAAUACCGGAUAAUGUCUUCGGACCAAAGAUUUAUCGCCUUUGGAUGGGCCCGCGUUGGAUUAGCUAGUUGGUAGGGUAAAAGCCUACCAAGGCGACGAUCCAUAGCUGGUCUGAGAGGAUGAUCAGCCACACUGGGACUGAGACACGGCCCAGACUCCUACGGGAGGCAGCAGUGGGGAAUAUUGGACAAUGGGCGAAAGCCUGAUCCGGCAAUGCCGCGUGAGUGAUGAAGGCCUUAGGGUUGUAAAGCUCUUUUACCCGGGAUGAUAAUGACAGUACCGGGAGAAUAAGCUCCGGCUAACUCCGUG